This 209-nucleotide ribosomal RNA is filed under the name Klebsiella pneumoniae. RNAcentral describes it as "partial 23S ribosomal RNA". It matches the Rfam family "Bacterial large subunit ribosomal RNA", at positions 254 to 501 of the family's 2925-position model. Lineage: Bacteria; Pseudomonadati; Pseudomonadota; Gammaproteobacteria; Enterobacterales; Enterobacteriaceae. The record is from RNAcentral.
CGAACGGGGAGCAGCCCAGAGUCUGAAUCAGCUUGUGUGUUAGUGGAACGGUCUGGAAAGUCCGACGGUACAGGGUGAUAGUCCCGUACACCAAAAUGCACAGGCUGUGAACUCGAAGAGUAGGGCGGGACACGUGGUAUCCUGUCUGAAUAUGGGGGGACCAUCCUCCAAGGCUAAAUACUCCUGACUGACCGAUAGUGAACCAGUAC